CUAGGAUUAGAUACCCUAUUAUUAAAAAUUAAAUUUAUUACACUAAAAUAGUAAAUAAUGAUUUAUUGAAACUUAAAUAAUUUGGCGGUAUUUUAGUACAUUUAGAGGAAUCUGUCUAAUAAUUGAUAAUCCACGAAUAAAUUUACUUAAUUUAUAAUUUUAUAUAUCGUUGUUAAAAAAAUAUUUUUUUAUAAAAAUAAUAUUUUAAAAUUUUUAUAUAAAAUUAACUCAGAUCAAGAUGUAGAUUAUAAUUAAGAAUAUGAUGGAUUACAAUAAUAAAAAUUAAAAUGAAUAAUAUUUUGUAAAUAAUAUUUGAAGGUGGAUUUAAAUGUAAUUUUAUUUAAUUUAAUAAAAUGAUUAUAUAUUAAAAUAUGUACAUAUUGCCCGUCGCUUUCAUUUAUAAAUUGAAAUAAGUCGUAACAUAGUAGAGGUACUGGAAAGUGUUUCUAGAAAGUUCAAA
Molecule: ribosomal RNA, 460 nt
Filed under: Luehdorfia chinensis
Lineage: Eukaryota; Metazoa; Arthropoda; Insecta; Lepidoptera; Papilionidae
Description: partial 16S ribosomal RNA
Source: RNAcentral